UCAGGUUUAUUUAAUAAUCUCUAGUUGCUCUCUACUGCUUCCCUAGAGAAUGGGAAUUAACAUGCCCCUCGAGAGGACAGGGUUAACAAAGUAUAAAAGCUGAAAAGGGCACUGAGCCCGUGGCUUCCCUAAGUUUAGGUAGUUCACAUCCAUUCAGUAUCAUCUCUAGCGGCACUUUACAUGCUAAGUGGAGAAUGACAAGGCAUUUGAAAAUAGCCUAGGAGUCAAGAGAUCUUUUCUUGAAAGUUGGUGUACCUGGUGAUUUGCCUAUCCUAUACUUUUUUUUUUUCUUUCCCUAAAGACCAAAUAAGCAUGAUACUAGGUAAAGUCAGCUGUAUUGCAUCACUUUGAAUGUCACAUUACUGUCCUUGGUGAGCAGAGCAAACAGUCAGAAUGUAGGGUGGGCACAAAAAAACAAUAAACAAAAAAUGAAUAUAUGUUAGUACUAAGUGCUAAAAAGAAUUAAAGCUGGGAAAGGGGAUAUGGAAAGUCACAGUAGGACCCUGAACUUUUAGAAAGCAUCAAUAGCAAAAGCUUCACUUCUUACUAAAGACAUGAAAACAAUUGCAGUCUAAACUACUUGGGGCUGGGGUGGAUUUUAAUCUGGAAAAAACACAAUAAAAAAUGCAAAGGCCUUCAAGAGGAGGUGUGUCUCUUGCUUUGGCUAUUUCUGCUGUUUUUACCUGUUCCAAUUGAGUCAACAGAUAAGUCUUCAAGCCACUGAAAUUAAAGGAUGUUUUCCUUUUUUAUUUAUGAAACUUUAUAAAGAUUCAGAGAAAACCAUAUUUUCUCUUUUUUAUUUUUUAAAGGCUGCACCAACACUAUGUGGAAGUUCCUGGACCAGGGAUUGAAUCUGAGCCUCAGCUGUGACCUACUCAGCAGCUGCUGCAACACUAGAUUCUUUAACUCACUGCCCCAGAGAUCUAAGCUGCAACUCCACAGCAUCCUGAGCUACUGCAGUCAGAUUCUUAAUCCACUACACCACAGUGGAUCAGCGGAUUAACAACCUCAGUUCCUGUAAUUUUCGAAUUUCACACUAGACAUAUGUCUUAGUUACUCAGUUCUGAAGGUAUACGACAUGGUUGUGACUCAACAAUGAAAGCUUUUACAUCAUUUUCAAAACACUUGCAAAUACUAUGCACGAAGAAUUUAUCUAUAAAACAAUUAUUUUCUCUUCAAAAGUAGCAUCAUACUCGUCCAUGUUCAUAACAUUUUAAAGCCUUUCUUGCCCACCUGUUAUACAUCAAGUAAUGAAAUUUAAAAUGUACUGGCAUAUCUGAAAAAAAGUAUUGACUCUAGAAACCUUUUUUAAAUCCCGAAGAUAAAGGACACUUGAGUUAGCUUCUCAGUUAUUUGUGUGAUCCAGAUACUGGCAUCACAUAGCCAAGUUGUUGGAGCAACUUUGCUCCUCACUCUCUUCAGUGAUCUCUCUAAUCAAACCAAGGAAAAGAAAAAGAUUCACUGAAUAAUGGCACAUUUCAUUGAGAAUAAUUUAAUUUCAUUUAUCCUUGACUGGCUUACUCUAUGUCUCUUCUGAUAUUUUGCUAUUAGACAUUAUAUUUGCUUCCUAUUGCUGCUAUAACAAGCUGCCAUUAACUUCGGGUUUUAGAACAACAAAAAUUUAUCAUCUUACCGUUCUGAAGAUCAGAAGUCUAAAACAAGUUUCGCCAGGCUAAAAUCCAGGUGUUGCCAGGGCUCUGUUCCUUUCUGGAGGUUCUUGGGGGGAAAUCUUUUUUCUAGCUUUUCCCACUUUGUAGAGGCUGCCUGCACUCCUUGGCUCAUGACACUAUUUCUCCAUUGCCAAAGCUAGAAAGCACAGAAUGAGUCUUUCUUGCAGCCAUUUCUGUGGUUCUCACUCUCCUGCCUUCUUCCUGUGUUUACGGAGACCCUUGUGAUUACAAUGAUCCCACCUGAGUAACUUGGGAUACGCUCUCUCCAUCUCAAGAUCAGCGGAUUAACAACCUCAAUUCACCUGUAACCUUAAUUCUCCUUUGCCCUGUAAGGUACCAUAGUCACAGGUUCUAGGAUUUAGAAUGUGGAUAUCUUUUGGGGACAAUUCUUCUGACUACCACUGCCACAAUGAUUCAAUUAGUAUUUAAUAAAGUAAAAUAAUAAGGCUGCAUUUUAAUCUGAUAGGUACAUGGGUUUUCUGUGGAAGACAGAAGUCUUUUACUUUUCUUACAGAUUUCUCUCUUAGUCAAUCCACUUGGUGUUACUUAGCUAAUGUUUUCCUUCUUCCUAAGCAGUGUUAUGACCUUCUUGUAGGCACUCCACAAAAGCACAUUUAAUUAUUUAAGUACAUUUCCUUCCUUCAAAGAGACUGCAUACUUUUCAGCAAAAGAGCUGCUAGUUUUCUGGCAUGAGUUAAAUUGCUUGACCAUGACACCUGGGUACUGAGCCCCUGGCUUUGGAUCCCACUUAAUCGACAGGUCAAAUCUUAACAUGUAUAAAUGUAUAAUAAUCACAUUAAAACUUUUUUUAAAAAGAAAUUUUAGAAACUGAUUUAUCUUACUCCAUAAAACCUGUAUUAUUUUCUCUGAAAUGCUAGGAAUUUAUGACUGUUUUUAUUGGUCCUCAGAAUACACCCUCCACAAACAACACUUAAGAAUAAACAACAACUUCAAGACCUAAAGAGAGCAUAAAAUAUUUAAUUAUAUAGGUGUCCUAGAAGUAUAAAAGGAAGUAGCAGGACAUGAAUCUGGAUUUUGCAGUUUCAUUAUUUGUACCACAAAAAAUAUGUUAUAGGAAACUGGGGAUGCUUUGAAUAUGCUCUUGUUUUGUUUUCUUAAACAAAAGUCAUUUUGGUUUAUUUGUCUCAUCCUUGUGCUGACCCAAUGCCUAUGACACUUGAGUGAAAAUAGAGUAGCCUUUAUAGGGUGAAGUCAGAGGACAAGAAUCAAUAGCUGUCUGAAAUGUAAAUCAUCAAAGAGAUUCCAUACCAACGAUAAGAAAGGAGAAGGUGAAGGACUUAGUUAUUUUUAAUCGUCUGUUUUAAAUAAGCAGUUAUUAGUGUUGCAACAUGAAAACCUCAUUUUCAAAAAUUUGAGAAGAGAUCAGAUGAUGGCCUGGGUAAAUGCUAUUGAAUUUCUCAACUACUGAAUAAUUUUAAACAGAACAAAAUCCUUUUGCUUAACACAAUUAUGAAGUAUUUCUCCAGAUUUAUUUCAAAUUACUCAACAGAUUUUUCACAUGAGUAUCUCAAAAAAUUCCAUCAGCGGCUUUUGUAAAGCCAACCAAACAAAAUAAAAUGCAUUUCUUUGUAGUGUUCCUGUUUGUCAAAGACAGAAUUUGUAUUAAUAAUUUUUUCUUAAUUUCACUUCAGAGACCUCACAAAGGUAAUGUGUAGAAUAUUUUAUAGAAGAGAAACAUAAAACAUCUUAAGAGGACUUAAGGGUACAGAAUGGGAUAGGUCAGUUGAGGUUAGGGAUGCUUUCUCUGGAUUCUUAAAAAACAUCCAGAACUCUGCUUUUAUUAUUUAUUUAUUUGCUUUUUAGGGCUGCACCCUUGGCAUAUGGAGGUUACCAGGCUAGGGGUCGAAUUGUAGCUACAGCUGCUGACCUAUGUCACAGCCACAGAAACGCAGGAUCUGAGCUGUACCUGUGAUCUACACCACAGCUCAUGGCAACACUGGAUCCCUGACCCACUGAGUAAGUCCAGGGAUCGAACCCACAUCCUCAUGGAUACUAGUUAGAUUCAUUUCUUCUACACUGUGAUGGGAACUCCCCAGAACUCUGCUUUUAAAGAUGAGAUUUGAUCUUGAACUGCUGUCCCUUCAGUGAUCCAUUCAGCAUGCAUUUAUGCCCUCUCUAAGGAGGUACUAUGAAAAAUUAAAGAGUUCCCCAUUUUAGAAGUUCAGAGUUCCAUGAGGAAAGAAAGAAAUGUAACCAAAAAUUAGAUAAGAAUCUUGCAAAUAACAGAAUGGAAGAGGGAGCACAGAUACCAGGCAACUCAGAGGAACAAAUGGUAAUACUUUCGGCCUGCAUGACUCAAGGUAAACUUACAACAGAAAUUACUGUGGAAAUUUCUUCCUCCACCCC
This 4037-nucleotide long non-coding RNA is filed under the name Sus scrofa (pig). RNAcentral's name for it is "lncRNA (ENSSSCG00000059681.1, ENSSSCG00090018640.1, ENSSSCG00105009468.1, ENSSSCG00110017066.1)". The record is from RNAcentral. Lineage: Eukaryota; Metazoa; Chordata; Mammalia; Artiodactyla; Suidae.